This 253-nucleotide ribosomal RNA is filed under the name uncultured bacterium. RNAcentral describes it as "partial 16S ribosomal RNA". It matches the Rfam family "Bacterial small subunit ribosomal RNA", at positions 524 to 776 of the family's 1533-position model. The record is from RNAcentral.
CACGUAGGGGACGAGCGUUGUCCGGAUUCAUUGGGCGUAAAGCGCGCGUAGGCGGCUCGGAAAGUCGAACGUGAAAUCCCUGGGCUCAACCCAGGAACUGCGUCCGAUACUGGAAGGCUUGAAUCCGGGAGAGGGAUGCGGAAUUCCAGGUGUAGCGGUGAAAUGCGCAGAUAUCGGGAGGAACACCAAUGGCGAAGGCAGCUUGCUGGGACGGUACUGACGCUGAGGCGCGAAAGCGUGGGGAGCAAACAGG